Molecule: long non-coding RNA, 199 nt
Filed under: Physcomitrium patens
Lineage: Eukaryota; Viridiplantae; Streptophyta; Bryopsida; Funariales; Funariaceae
Description: long non-coding RNA (PPAT_LNC000438)
Source: RNAcentral
GUUAAGGACAUCCCAUAAGGUAGGGUGCUGGUCUAUAGUGCAUUAGAGUACAAGGGGAGGGCUGGUCCUAGGAGAUAUCCCAUAUGGAUUGUAGCACUUGGUACCUUGGUACUAGUAUAUAAGGAAAGGGUUGGCAUGAGAAGAAUUAUCUCAUACCACACUCUAUUUGUUAUAGUGCAACCUUGCUGGUCCUAACUUA